CAGCAGCCACGGGAAUACGUACGUCACAAGCGUUAUCCGGAUUUAUUGGGCGUAAAGCGCGUCUAGGUGGUUAUGUAAGUCUGAUGUGAAAAUGCAGGGCUCGACUCUGUAUUGCGUUGGAAACUGUGUAACUAGAGUACUGGAGAGGUAAGCGGAACUACAAGUGUAGAGGUGAAAUUCGUAGAUAUUUGUAGGAAUGCCGAUGGGGAAGCCAGCUUACUGGACAGAUACUGACGCUGAAGCGCGAAAGCGUGGGUAGCAAACAGGAUUAGAUACCCCUGUAGUCCCUGUCUCUUAUACA
RNAcentral lists this ribosomal RNA (301 nucleotides) under uncultured bacterium. RNAcentral describes it as "partial 16S ribosomal RNA". It matches the Rfam family "Bacterial small subunit ribosomal RNA", at positions 509 to 808 of the family's 1533-position model. The record is from RNAcentral.